RNAcentral lists this ribosomal RNA (424 nucleotides) under uncultured bacterium. RNAcentral describes it as "bacterial SSU rRNA". It matches the Rfam family "Bacterial small subunit ribosomal RNA", at positions 357 to 771 of the family's 1533-position model. The record is from RNAcentral.
GGGAAUUUUUCGCAAUGGGCGAAAGCCUGACGAAGCAACGCCGCGUGGAGGAUGAAGGCCCUAGCGGGCGUAAACUCAUGUCUAGCGGGACGAAACCUUGCAGGGUAAAUAAUCGUGCGAAUUGACUGUACCGCAGGAGGAAGCUCCGGCCCACUCCGUGCCCGCAGCCGCGGUAAUACGUAGGGACCAAGCGUUGUUCGGAUUUACUGGGCGUAAAGGGCGCGUAGGCGGCGUGGUAAGUCACUUGUGAAAUCUCUGAGCUUAACUCAGAACGGCCAAGUGAUACUGCUGUGCUAGAGUGCAGAAGGGGCAAUCGGAAUUCUUGGUGUAGCGGUGAAAUGCGUAGAUAUCAAGAGGAACACCUGAGGUGAAGACGGGUUGCUGGGCUGACACUGACGCUGAGGCGCGAAAGCCAGGGGAGCAA